This 213-nucleotide unclassified non-coding RNA is filed under the name plant metagenome. Its description in RNAcentral is "partial contains small subunit ribosomal RNA, internal transcribed spacer 1, and 5.8S ribosomal RNA". The record is from RNAcentral.
UUUCCGUAGGUGAACCUGCGGAAGGAUCAUUCAUAAUAAGUGUUUUAUAGCACUUUUUUAAAUCCAUAUCCACCUUGUGUGCAAUGUCAGGGUUGAUUUUUCUCUCGACAGUAUCAGCCCCAAACAUCAACUAUAUCUAAACUCUUUGUCUGAAAAAUUUUAUGAAAAAAACAAUUCAAAAUACAACUUUCAACAACGGAUCUCUUGGCUCUC